UGGGGAAUCUUGGGCAAUGGGGGCAACCCUGACCCAGCGACGCCGCGUGGGGGAAGAAAUCCCUUGGGAUGUAAACCCCUGUUGUGCGGGACGAUGAUGACGGUACCGCACGAGGAAGCCCCGGCAAACUACGUGCCAGCAGCCGCGGUAAUACGUAGGGGGCGAGCGUUGUCCGGAAUCACUGGGCGUAAAGCGCGCGCGGGUGGUUUCGUAGGUCGGCCGUGAAAGACAUGGGCUCAACCCGUGCAGGUCGGUCGAUACCGCGGGACUGGAGUAUGGGAGAGGAAAGCGGAAUUCCCGGUGUAGCGGUGAAAUGCGUAGAUAUCGGGAGGAACGCCAGUGGCGAAGGCGGCUUUCUGGCCCAUCACUGACACUGAGGCGCGAAAGCCGGGGGAGCGAACG
RNAcentral lists this ribosomal RNA (402 nucleotides) under uncultured prokaryote. RNAcentral's name for it is "bacterial SSU rRNA". It matches the Rfam family "Bacterial small subunit ribosomal RNA", at positions 355 to 774 of the family's 1533-position model. The record is from RNAcentral.